Molecule: ribosomal RNA, 1408 nt
Filed under: uncultured bacterium
Lineage: Bacteria
Description: bacterial SSU rRNA
Rfam family: Bacterial small subunit ribosomal RNA
Source: RNAcentral
GCCUAAUACAUGCAAGUCAAACGGGUGUAGCAAUACACAAGUGGCGAACGGGUGAGUAACACAUAGACAACUUGUCCUUAAGACGAGGAUAACAGUUGGAAACGACUGCUAAAACUGGAUAGGAUAAAGUAACGCAUGUUAAGAUAUUUAAAGAUGCUUUUGGGCAUUACUUAAGGAGGGGUCUAUGUCGCAUUAGCUAGUUGGUGAGGUAAGGGCUCACCAAGGCGACGAUGCGUAGCUGUGCUGAGAGGCAAAACAGCCACACUGGGACUGAGACACGGCCCAGACUCCUACGGGAGGCAGCAGUAGGGAAUUUUCGGCAAUGGGGGGAACCCUGACCGAGCAAUGCCGCGUGAAUGAAGACGAUCUUCGGAUUGUAAAGUUCUGUUAUUGCGAAAGAAAGAUAUGGCGAGGAAAUGCGUUAUAUUUGACGGUACCUGAUGAGAAAGCCCCGGCUAACUAUGUGCCAGCAGCCGCGGUAAUACAUAGGGGGCAAGCGUUAUCCGCGAAUUAUUGGGCGUAAAGAGUGCGUAGGCGGAUGAUUAAGUCUGGUGUAAAUCCACAGCUUACUGUGGAGGGUCAUUGGAAACUGGUCAACUAGAGUACGGUAGAGGUAAGCGGAAUCCAAGUGGAGCGGUAAAAUGCGUAGAUAUUUGGAGGAACACCAGUGGCGAAGGCGACUUACUGGGCCGGGACUGACGCUGAUGCACGAAAGCGUGGGGAGCAAACAGGAUUAGAUACCCUGGUAGUCCACGCCGUAAACGAUGAGCACUAAGUGUCGGAGUAAAAUUCGGUGCUGCAGUUAACACAGUAAGUGCUCCGCCUGGGGAGUACGGUCGCAAGACUGAAACUCAAAGGAAUUGACGGGGACUCGCACAAGCGGUGGAGCAUGCGGUUUAAUUCGAUGCAACGCGAAGAACCUUACCAGGUCUUGACAUACUGUUGCUGGGGUUAGAGAUAAUCCGUUUCUUCGGAACAACAGAUACAGGUGGUGCAUGGUUGUCGUCAGCUCGUGUCGUGAGAUGUUGGGUUAAGUCCCGCAACGAGCGCAACCCUUAUCAUUAGUUGCUAACAGUAAGAUGAGCACUCUAAUGAGACCGCCGGCGCAAGCCGGAUGAAGGUGGGGAUGACGUCAAAUCAUCAUGCCCCUUAUGACCUGGGCUACACGCGUGCUACAAUGGCUAGUACAAAAGAGCUGCGAAGCCGCGAGGUGGAGCUAAUCUCACCAAGCUAGUCUCAGUUCGGAUUGUAGUCUGCAACUCGACUACAUGAAGUUGGAAUCGCUAGUAAUCGUGAAUCAGCAUGUCACGGUGAAUACGUUCUCGAGUCUUGUACACACCGCCCGUCACACCAUGAGAGUUUAUAAUACCCGAAGCCGGUGGCCUAACCGCAAGGGGGGAGCCGUCUA